Callithrix jacchus (white-tufted-ear marmoset) is the source of this 15339-nucleotide non-coding RNA. NCBI's taxonomy places the organism in Eukaryota, Metazoa, Chordata, Mammalia, Primates, Cebidae. The record is from RefSeq and is a predicted model, not a curated record.
CCAGCGGAGGAAGCUUGAUUAUCAAGUUACUCAAGUAAACACUGAGUUUCUUCUUUAGGUUAAAGCACGGAGAAUAGAAACGUGGACUUAGACGGGCGCGGUGGCUCACGCCUGUAAUCCCACCACUUUGGAGGCAUAGGCCAGCACAUCAGGAGUUCGAGAUCAGCCUUAACAUGGUGAAACCCCGUCUCUACUAAAAAUACAAAAAUUACCCCGGGCAUGCUGGUGCGUGCCUGUAAUCCCAGCUACUCAGGAGGGUGAGACACGAGAAUCACUCGAAUGCGGGAGGCAGAGGUUGCAGUGAGCUGAGAUUGCACCAUUGCACUCCAGCCUGGGCGACAAGAGCAAGACUCCGUCUGAAAAAAAGAAACAGGAAAAAAAGGCCGAGCGCGGUGCCUCAUGCCUGUAAUCCCAGCAUUUUGGGAGGCCCUGGUGGGCAGAUCACAAGGUCAGGAGUUCGAGACCAGCCUGACCAACAAAGAUGAAACCCCAUCUCUACUAAAAAUACAAAAAUUAGCCAGGUGCAUAAUAUCAGCUACUCGGGAGGCUGAGGCAGAAGAAUCGCUUGAUCCCGGGAGGCGGAGGUUGCAGUGAGCCGAGAUCGCACCACUGCACUCCAGCCUGGGCGACAGAGCAAGACUCCAUCUCAAAAAGAAAAACAAAGAAAAGAAAUAUGGAUGUGAUUUGUUGGUCACUGAGAAGUGACCUCAGCCGUCCAGAAAACAAGUUACCAGCCAACAAGCUUUUUUGGCCUACAAACAAUUGCACUUAGUUGGUCCUUGAGGGCAGGGGACUGUCAACUUGGCAAACUCUAGAGUUUAUGAUGGGACCCUGAGCCAUGCAACAGAGGGAUAAGGCAGCUUCUCGUCUCAGGAACUUACCUGACAUGGACCAUGCACAGCCCUCUACAUUAGCCUCAUCUGAAUAUCUGUCCUCCUAACCCAGCAGUCAUACAUUUGCAGCUCCAGGAUGUGCCCUUCUCUCAAAAUUCUGUGUCUUAGCUGUGCCCUGUGACUACACACCUUUCUUUUUUCUGGCCAGCACCUCCUGAGGUAACCAGCCAGCUCUGUGGAUGAUAAGCUGUCUGAGUUCAGAGCCCAGCUUGUAGGUUACCUUAAGCCACUGGUGGACUAUACACUGUAUGUGUGAUUUAUUUACUCUACCCACUAGGUUUUAGGGCAAGUAUGCUUUUAAAAACACAUCAUUUCGUGGUUGGCAUACUACCCAGCACAUAAUUUAGAUAAGUACUUAUCUUUACAAAACUAGUGAAAUGCAGCAGGUACUAUGUUCAAUACUAUCACAUAACGUUGACUCACUUCAGCUCUAUAACAAUCGUAUGGCAGGGCGAGGUGACUCACGCCUGUAAUCCCAACAUUUUGGGAGGCUGAGGCAGGCAGGUCACCCAAGGUCAAGAGUUUGAGAUCAGCCUGGCCAACAUAAUGAAAUCAUGUCUCUACUAAAAAUGCAAAAUUUAGCUGGAUUACAGGGAGGUGGCUCACCCCUGUAAUCCCAGCUACUUGAGAGGCUGAGGUGGGAGAACUGCUUGAACCUGUGAAGCAGAGACUGCAAUGAGCCAAGAUCAUGCCACUGCACUCCAGCCUGGACAACAAAGCAAGACCCCAUCUCAAAACAAACAAACAAAAACCAAUCACAUGAGGAAGUGUUACGUGCAAUAAGAGGCAACAUGGGUUUCAAGGGCUUCCCAAGAAUCAAGUUUUUAAUAUGCUCUCUAUAAUAUCCUACAACCUGUUAGUUGUAGGAUAUUAUAUUUUGAUAAUGGCAUGGCUCACCCAUUUACCUGUUGGAUUUAAGAGGCAGAAAUGUGUGGACCAUGAAGGUCUGACAAAUGGUCCAAAUAAUACCCAUUUGCUGUAUUCCACUAAUAGCUGUGUAUAAUUUACAUUUCCCUUGCUGAAAAUAUAUACAAACUAUCAAUUUGUGGGUGUGUUCUUGAGCUAUAUUGGCCCAGCCAUAAAUGGUAAUUGUUACAAUUUCAGCUAUUUUAGAUGACAUAAUUAAGGCUCACAGAGGAUAAGUACUAUGAAAUUACUAGCUAAUAACUGGAAGAACUAAAUUUCUAACCAAAUUCUGUGAGUCUUCCAGCCACCAAGGAAGGGGAGAAUAGAGCACCAUAGGAAAACGAAAUGGCAAAUGUAUUAUCCUGUUGUUGCUACGUUAUCUUUUAAUCUAACUGUAUAAUCUAACAGGCCAGCUAAAUAUCUUUUCCUAAAAACAUUAAUAAAAAUGCAUGGUAAAUACAUAUAUAAGACAUUGAACAGUUAGUAUCUCUUAAUAGAAGCAAACAAUUUUCAUGAGCAAAAUCAUAAAAUUCUUUAGCAGUAACCUCUUGGCUAAAAAAAAAUAAUAUUCUGCUGGAAUCUGGGUGCAAAAUUCUUACACUAAAAUUUACUUAGUAUUGAGUAGAAAUAUACUUCAGCAAAGUGAGUGAUAUACUGCUUUAAAUACUAACAUAUUAGAAGUUUUGACUAAAAUGUAAAUCGAAUAUAUUAUACAUUCAGCAUUCAAUUACAAGAUUAAAACAUCAUGACAAAGUAAGAUUUAUCCCAGGAAUGUAAAGAUGGCUAAACAUGAGGACAUCUUUUGAUGUAUUUUUCAAUAUUGUCAGACUAAAAAAUAUCCCAGUAGAUCCUGAAAAAAAUUAACAAAACAGUACAACCAUUCAUACAAAUUCUUAGAAGUAGAAAGAAAUAUCUUUAAUUUGAUAAAGAUUAAUGUCUUAGUCCCUUUUCUGCUGAUAUAACAGGAUAUCACAGACUGGGUUAUUUAUAAAGAAUAGAAGCUUAUUUGGCUCAGAGCCUGGGAAGUCCAAGAACAUGGCCCUGGCAUCUGUGACGGUCAUCUCAUAGCAGAAGGGCAGAAGGGUAAGGGAGCAUAUGAAAGAAAGAAUAAGGGGCUGAGCUCACUUUUAUAACAACCUGCUUUGAGAGAACAUCAAGGGGGAAGGUUAUACUGAGAGAAAUGAGGCAAGAGGGAGGUGACAGGCACAAAUUGGAGGAUUUAAUGUGAGGAGAUGAAAGCAGAUUUUCUGGUAAUGAGAGAAUAGGAGAGAAGAAAUGAGAAAGUAGUGAAAGAAGGAAAGUUAAGUUUCAGAAAUAAUGGCAAUAAUUUUUAGUAUAUUGGCAGUUUUGAAAAAUACUUACUUCAGGCUGGGGGUGAUGGCUCGUGCCUGUAAUCCCAGCAUUUUGGGAGGCCGAGGCAGGCAGAUCACCUGAGGUCAGAAGUUCAAGACCAGCCUGGCCAACAUGGUGAAACCCCAUCUCUAUUAAAAAUACAAAAAAUUAACCAGGCAUGGUGGCACAUGCCUGUAAUCCCAGCUACUCAGGAGGCUGAGGCAGGAGAAGUGCUUGAACCUGGGAGGGAGAGGUUGCAGUGAGCAGAGAUUGCACCAUUGCACUCCAUCCUGGGCAAUAAGAGCAAAACUGUCCCCCCCCCCAAAAAAAAGAAUAACUUCAAUAUGGGCAAAAAUUUGGAAAGAAAUGCUAUCGAUGAGGAUUGAAUUAAAUAUAUAUUCAGUGAAGAUUGAAUAAAAUAUAUGAAUACUAAUUGCAUUUAAAAAGACUGUUGUACAGGUUUUUUUUGUUUGUUUGUUUGUUUUGAGAUGGAGUCUCACUAAGACACCCAUGCUGAAGUGCAAUGGCAUGAUCUUGGUUCACUGCAACCUCUGCCUCCCGGGUUCAAGCAAUUCUUCUGCCUCAGCCUCCCGAAUAGCUGGGACUACCGUUGUGCACCACCACAUCUGGCUAAUUUUUGUAUUUUUAGUAGAGAUGGGGUUUCACCAUGUUGGCCAGGACAGUCUUGAACUCGUGACCUCAUGUGAGGUCAUCCACCCAUCUCAGCCUCCCAAAUGUGUACAGGUUUCUGAGUUAAGAUAGCAAAUUGAAAAUACGUAACUAAUUUCAAACUUCUAGUCCCAGUAAAAAUGCAAGUAAUUUUUCCCUUUAUUUUUUUAAACCUACAGAGAUAGAAAAAAACAGGAGAGGAGAGAGCAAGACUUUUGUCAGCUGGAAAGAGAUAGAAGGGAAGUAACAUUUCUAGCAAACAAGAGAAAUCCUAAUCUUAAACCAACAGCAGGAAAAACAUAGAACCAACCAGAUUUACACAGCACAAUACUCAAAAGAGACCACAGAAGGAACAAUAGGUACCUCUAGAAUGGCUAAAAUAAGGAGUAUUGGUAAAAACUGAGAAUCGGGAAGAUCUUUUAUCUUCCUCUACAACUGGAGAAUAUUUCCUCUAGAGAGGGAGAAAGAAACAAUCUGCAUUAGAAGUUGACUGGCCCAGCUGAGGGCAUGGAUACUGUUAUCAAAAAUAAUUGGUGUCUGAGGGUAAGUGACCAUACACAUACUGAGUAAUGAAUGCUGGCCCUCUAUAAAGGCUGGCAGCCACAAAACAGUCAACAAGAAAUCUAUUCUCUGGGGGAAUCUAACUAGCUCAAGAGGAAAACCUUCAGAGAUACCAACAUUGAAAGUCCCCUACAGAUAGCCCAAUAAGAUCAUUCUUCAGUGAUGCUCUAAGUUGACAAGCCCCAUAACUACACACAGAGCUUCCAAUCAGCUUUCAAAUCCCACUGCUAAUCAGGAGGAGACAUCUAAGGAGUAACAUAUUUGAGGACAACAUUUAACAUGGAAGAGAUACCAAAAUAGAAAAACAAUCUGGGGCUCGGUGGCUCACGCCUAUAAUCUCAGCACUUUGGGAGGCUGAGGCGGGUGGAUCACGAGGUCAAGAGAUGGAGACCAUCUUGGUCAACAAGGUGAAACCCCGUCUCUACUAAAAAUACAAAAUUAGCUGGGCAUGGUGGUGCGUGCCUGUAGUCCCAGCUACUCAGGAGGCUGAGGCAGGAGAAUUGCUUGAGCCCAGAAAGCGGAGGUUGCGGUGAGCAGAGAUCGUGCCAUUGCACUCCAGUCUGGGUAACAACAGCAAUACUCCAUCUCAAAAACAUAAAAAAAUAAUUAAAAAAUAAAAAAAAACAAUUUGGAAGAAACAAAAACCAGGAGGGGGAAAAUACUUAAAAAAUAAAUCAUCACUAAAAUUUUCAGAAAGAUAUAGAAAGACAUUGCAUCUAUGAAAUAAGAACAGGAAGCUGUUAAAAAACAGAAACAAUCUUCAACAUAUAAAUUGGAAAGGAGAACAAAAAAAAGAAAAAAGAAAAAAACAAUAGAAACUAUCAGAAAACAGAAAAAGAACUAGAAAGUAGAGCAAAAUGACAGAGAUGAAAAACAGGAGUAAAAAUCAAAUGCAGGUCAUCCAAUAUUCAAAUAAUGAAAAAAUUCCAGAAAGAGAAGACAGAGAAUACAGAAGGGAAGAUAUAAUGAGUGAAAUAACUCAAGAAAAUUUCUACAAUGGAAUGUCAUGUUUCCUGAUUGAAAGUCCCCACACAGGAUGAAAAUACACACACACUGUUACAAAAUUUUUUUUUUCAAGACGGACUCUCUGUCACACAGGCUGGAUUGCAGUGGUGCAAUCUUGGCUCACUGCCAUCUCCAUCUCCUGGGUUCAUGCGAUUCUUAUUCUUCAGCCUCCCAAGUAGCUGGGAUUACAGGCACACACCACCAUGCCUGGCUCAUUGUUUUAUUUUUAUUUUUAGUAAAGACUGGGUUUCACCAUAUUGGCCAGACUGGUCUUGAACUCCUGACCUCAAAUGAUCCUCUUGCCUUGGCCUCCCAAAGUGCUAGGAUUACAGGCAUGAGCCACCACACUUGGCCACUAUUACAAAUUUUUAUGAGAUUUCAGAACACUGGAGAUAAGAGAAGAUCCUUUAGUCUCCAAGGAGAGGAGGAAAACAGAUCGCAAAAGAUUAGACCAAUCAGCAGGCUUUGCAAUUCUUGGCAGCAACACUAGAAGCUAGAAGAUAAUGAAGCAAUGUUUUCAAAAUUCCAAGAGAAAACUUUUCCAAUCUAUACACAAAUUAUCUAUAAAAAUUAGGGUAAAAGAAAGUCUCAAAAACAGGCUAGGCAUAGUGGCUUAUGCUUAUAACCCCAGCACUUUAAGAGGCUGAGGCGGGUGGAUCACCUGAGGUCAGGAGUUCAAGAUCAGCCUGGCCAACAUGUUAAAACCCCGAAAUCUCUACUAAAAAUUAAAAUAUUAGCUGGGCAUGAUGGCUCAUGCCUGUAAUCACAGCUACUCAGGAGGUUGAUGCAGAAGAAUCGCUUGAACCUGGGAGGCAGAGGCUGCAGUAAGCUGAGAUACCACUGCACUCCAGUCUAGGCAACAGAGCAAGACUUUUCAAAAAAAAAAAAAUAGACUUUUGCUGUAUUUGUUUUUAAAAACUUACUCUGUAUAUUCAGCAAAAUGAGGGAAUAAAUCAAGAAAGAGGAAACUGUGGGGUAUAGAAAGCAAAGAAUACAACCCAGGAGAGAAGCAAAGGAAAUCUUUAGGAUUACCACUGUGCAAUGAGUUUAAAAAGGUAACCAGUACAUACUACAGCAACAUGACUCAAGAAGCAGGCAUUUUGUGGUCUGUCUUCACAGUGUUUUCUGCUGUGUCUUCCUUUUAAAGUAAAGGAACUACUGGAAACUAUACUUCACCAACACAAGAAAAUAAAUCAAGAAAGAGGAGGGCCUGAGUCUCAGGAUACAGGGAAUACAUGCCAGGAGAAUGGUAAAGACAAUUCCAAAUUGGAAAGCAAGAGAAGUCCAAGGGUAACACUACAGCAAGCCCAGAGAGCACAGACCCAGAGAGAAGUCCCCAGGAGGGAGGGCUUGAAGGAAAACAGUUGAAGUGGCUAGAUUACCCAGUGUGGGUGGGCUAUGGGAAAAUGUACUGAGACACAAUGGGAAGACAUGGGAAAAAUAAGCAAUAAUACAAGAAGCACCAACCACAUGGAAAAAAUCAAGGCAUGUUUUACCUGAGGGAAAAACAGCAAGGUAAUAGAAAACAAGGAGAGCCUGAGAAACUGUCACAACCAAGAGGAGCAGAAAGAGUCAUGACAACUCAGCAUAUCCUGGAUGUGGUAUCCUGGAAAUGGUCCCGGAACAGACAAAACACAUUAAGCAAAAACAAAGGAAAUCUGAGUAAACAACAGACUUUAGCUAAUAAAAAUGUCUCAGUAUUUAUUUAUUUGUAGUAACAGAUGUGCUAUACUAACUGUUGAUAGAAGAAACAGUCCAGGGUAAGAGAAUUCUGUAUGUACAACCUUGACAUUUUUCUGUAAAACUGCUAAAAAAUAAAGUUUAUUUUUUUAAAAAAGGAAGAAAAUCACAAUUAAAUACACUUCAGCUUUGAGCUUUGAAUAAUAGUUGUAUAGGUACAAUAAUGCAAAUACUGAUUUAACAAAAAGAUUGCAAUGUAACUACAUUGGAAGGGUGGGGAAGAAAUGUGUAAAGCAGAGAGAUGGCAGAGUGAGAGAACCAAACUCUUAUUUACCAUAAAAAAGAUAAGUAGAUAAUGCCUAAAAUUGAUAAUUGAUAGCAGAAUGUGGCUAUUAUUUAAAAAUGUGAAGGUAUAUUAUAGCAGGAGAAACAGCUAAGACUAGAAAGAGGUUGUCUCUGAGUAAAAGGAUUAAGAAAACAGGACAUGUGGGACAGAGAACCAUUGUUUUUUAUUUGGCCUUUUCUUUUUUUUCCUUUCUUUCCAGACAGGGUCUCACUUUGUCAUCCAGGGUGGAGUGCAGUAGCAUGAACAUGGCUCACCGCAGCUCAACCUCCUGGGCGCAAGCAAUCGUCCCAACCUCAACCUACCUAAUAGUUGGGAUUACAGGUGUGAGCCACUAUGCCCAGCUAAUUUUUUUUUUUUUUUUUGUAGAGACAGGGUUUUGCCAUGUUGCUCAGGGUAGUCUCAAAUUCUGAAGCUCAAGCCAUCAGCCCAAUUUGGCUUUUCAAAGUGCUGGGAUUACAGGCCUGAGCCACCUUGCCCAGCUAUUUAGCCUUUUCAAUGUUAGUUUUCAGAUUGUGUGCAUGUACUAAUUUGAUAAACAUCAACUUAAAAACAUCAAAAGGGUGAAAUAGAUUUUAAUGCAUUGACAAACAAAAAACUGCCAAGACAUUGGCAAACCAAAAAGCAAAUUCUAGGCUAGGCACAAUGGCUCAUACCUGUAAUCCUAGCACUUUGGGAAACCAAGGUAGACAGAUUGCCUGAGGUCAGGAGUUCGAGACCAGCCUGGCCAACGUGGUGAAACCCCAUCUCUACUAAACAUACAAAGAUUAGCUGGCUGUGGUGGCACAUGCCUGUAAUCCCAGCUACUCAGGAGGCUCAGGCGGAAUUGCUUGAACCCAGGAGAUGGAGGUUGUAGUGAGCCGAGAUCAUGCCACUGCACGACAGCCUGGGGGACAGAGUGAGACUCCGUCUCAAAAUAAAAAAUAAAUAUUUUAGGAGCCCUCAGGAACAAGAUGGCGGUUCUCUGGAGACUUAGUGCUCUUUGCCGUGCCCAAGGAAGCCGAGCUCUGUUGCUGCGAACUUCAGUGGUCAGACCUGCUCAUAUUUCAGCGUUUCUUCAGGACCAACCUACCCCAGAAUGGUGUGGAGUGCACCACAUUCACUUGUCACCGAGUCACCAUUCUGGUUCCAAGGCUGCAUCUCUCCACUGGACUAGUGAAAGGGUUGUCAGUGUUUUGCUCCUGGGUCUGCUUCCGGCUGCUUAUUUGAAUCCUUGCUCUGCGAUGGACUAUUCUCUGGCUGCAACUCUCACUCUUCAUGGUCACUGGGGCCUUGGACAAGUUGUUACUAUGUUCAUGGGGAUGCCUCGCAGAAAGCUGCCAAGGCAGGGCUUUUGGCACUUUCAGCUUUAACCUUUGCUGGGCUUUGCUAUUUCAACUAUCACGAUGUGGGCAUCUGCAAAGCUGUUGCCAUGCUAUGGAAGCUCUGACCUUUUUGACUUCAUACUUUGAAGAAUUGAUGUAUGCCUCUUUGCCUCUGCUUUGUCAUGUCAUUCAGCUCACAGUAAGGAAGAAGUAACAGAUAAGUCUAUUGGUGGACAGGCUUCUUCUCUUAAUCUUUGAGGAAAAGGUUUGAGAGGAAUUAUGUCUAAGAAAUUGUGAGACUGAGUUCUGUAUUCUGGUGAGUAAAUGGGGUUGCCUCCCAGCUUCUCAUAAGACUCACAGUAUAACUAAACAUGAUAUAUGAGCUUUUGCCUUUUAAUUUAUCAAUCUCUUAAAGAGAAUCCAGCUUUAUUACUAUUACUAUAUUAUCAAACUUAUUCUUUGCCUUGGAAAUAAUGGACAAAGGGAAAUACCGUUAAUUCAUGAAUAAAAACUUGGCAGAAAAUUAGACAGUGUUUAAUUUUUGAAAACUUCCCUCUCUAUUCAGUAGAUACCACCUACUGAUGGAUACAUAUACUAGGGAAAUUUUUAAAUUUGGACAUGCUGGUAUCUCACAUAUAAAUUUCUAAAUCCUAGGAAGAAAAGCUUGUAGUGCUUCUGAAUAUAGAGAAGUUCCAUAUAAGGGUAAAGUUCCCCUUCUAUACAUACCAAAAUAUUACAGAUCAUAAAUUGAGAGUUAAUUCUCAAAUGUGUUCUACUUGUUCUAAAAUCUGUCCACAAAUAUAAAACUCUAAGUAAUUAAUUGUUAUUUUCACACUAUGGGAACCUCUAAUGUGAAAAUGUAUUCUAUGAAAAUAAUUUUUUAAAAAAUAAAAUGUAUAAUAAAAAUGUUAAAAAAAAUAAAUAUUUUAAAAUUAAAUUCUAGGAAUGCCACAGAAAUAACCCAAAUGGCAUUACUAAGUACAGGUUGGUUGCCAUUUUGAAGUUUUUCUCUCUUCUAAAACGUGCCAAUAUACUAAAAAUUAAUGUUUUGAUUUCUGAAAUGAAGUCAAAGGAAUUCUGUCCAUUGAUUACUUUCUUAAUUCUUCUCUCUAUUCUCUGGUAGAAAAUCUGCUUUUACUUCAUCACCACAUCAAAAUCCUCCAAUGUAUGCUUGUCACCUCUCUCUUGCCUUCCUUUCUCUCAAUGCAACUUUCUCCCUAAAUGUUCUCUCAAACCCAUCAACAAUCCCCAAUACUGAAAAAAAUUGAUGUUUUAGGUCCUACUUUCUGAUGGCUGAAAAAAAUGGCUAUUUUCUUAAGCUGGCUUCACUGUAAACUCAUGAAUUUCAUUCCUUUGAAAAUUAGCACUCAAUAGUCCUUUUACUCAUCCUUUUUUUUUUUCCUAAUCAUGUGCUAUUCUUUUAUGGCAUCCAAUCUUCUUUGGCCUUCCUGCUGACAUUACUGCCUGAUGGCUUUCUUACUUUGCCAAAACAAAAAAUGUCCUGCUUGAACUCAUAUUUUUUUUUCAUCUCCAAAUAUACCCGUUCUUCCCUUUCCUUUUGUGCAGGGUAAGAAAUAUCCCUACUUCUUUCUGAGGGUCUUUCCAUCUACCUCACUUCUCCUUUCUUAGACAUUUGUUUUACCCAGGAUUUUGAAAUUAGCAUUCUGAUUGCAAAAUGGAUGGAUAAAUGAAAUAAAUGAAACUUGCCAUUUUAAUUACCAUUUCCCUGAAUUACCUCCUUUCUUACUUCCACUACAGUGGUAUAGGCCCUUAACCAUCACUUGGUUGGUUGGCUGCUGCUCCAUCAAAUGUUCUUAUAAUUUUUUCAUUCAUCAUCUUUCUUCCAUGAUUUACUAUUUGCCCUGGCUUAUAACAUAUUCAAGGUUCUUACAUGUGUGGGUAGAAAUGAACUUUUCUUCCCCUAAGUAAUAACCACAUUUGUAUUUCAUCCUUGGUCUUCAGGCUUCUUUAAAGGUUUCUCACAUUUACUGACAACAUUCAUUUAACUAUAGUAGAGUAUCUCUGUAGUGGGUGAAGUUCUAAACUUUUGUUGGCUGAAUACAAACUGAUUUUGACUGCUUGCUUUCUUCCCCUCCGCCUCUGAUGCUCAGCCCAGGGCUCCCAGUGUGGAUCUCCUAGGGCAUACUAUUUUGGAAAGGACUCUUUGGUAAGCCUAUUUAGACCCUUGUCAAGCAUAAACUCAUUGUUUUGAAGAAGGCCUAAAUACUGGUGAAAUAAUCAAAAUGAGGGCUUUGUUUAGACGGAGAUGUUAAGUGUUCAGUAAACAUUUGUUGCAUAUAUGAUAGCUAAUAUUUUAUUAAGCACUUGCUACUGCUAAGAAAUUCACAUUAUCUUAAUGUCCUUAAGAAGCAUCUGAAGGCACAUUUCCCAUUACACAGAUAAGGAAAGUAACUUUUAGAGAUAAAUAACUUGCUUAAAGUCAAUAUUGUAGGCUCUUGAGCCAGGAUUCAUACUGGUGGGCUGAAUGUGUAACUGCAUUCUUAAUCACUCAAUUACACUGUCUUGGCUGUAAAACACUAGUUUCUACAAUAAAUAACAUGGGCAUAGUCAUUCCUCAAGAGACAAACUAGUCAAGGCAGUAAUGCCAGGCAACUAUAAUGCAAAUAGGUCUCCAUAAAUGCAAUCUAAAAGGAACAAAGUGUUAUUGGAGUCCUACUGAGGGAUCAAGAGACAUUUCUUCUAGCUAGAGUACUUAAAAGGAUGUGGACUUCAAAUGUGGCUUUAAAGUUUAAGGAAUGGACAAGAUUUAAACAACUGCCAUUAAAAGGGAAAGGUAGACCAGACAAGGGAUGUCACUAACAAAAAUAUGAACCAGGAAGGAAUAGAGCAUGCUCAUGAGACAGGAGCCUAAUUUCAUUAAAGCAAAAGGUGGGUGAAGCUAAGGGAUAAGAAUCAAGACAGGAAAAAUAGUUUGAGACGAAAUUAUUCUGAAGCAAGCAUCUGGACUUCAUCUGCAGACUGUAAGGAGUCUAUAAAGAUUUCUGAGCAUAGUACCAUGACAGGAGUUUUUUAGGAAGAUCAGUUUGGGAACAGGUUGUAGCACUGGCGGAGUAGAGAGAGACUAACAGUUUUUUACAGGAGACUCAAGAUAGUUCCAGUAAAUGGUCACAAGAUCUUGACCCUAAGGAUAGAGACAACAGAAAUGAGAACGGCAGAGAUUUCCAAAGUAGAAUCAACUCAAGUUGGUCCUAGUAAAACUAUGACACCUAAGCAAUAUAGCUCUAAAAACAUAAGCAGUUGGCUCUAAGUCUCAGUUAUAGAAGGCUGGGACAUAUUUAAAACUAAAAUUUAGAAAUUAAGUUUGGUUUAAAAGCCUGUUGCAUUCACACACACAUUUCUACACACACAAAUAUACAAACAUGCUGUAUACACAUAUGUAGUGAGAUUUGAAAUGAAGAUCUAGAAAAUAAAAUGUAUGUUAAAAUCAAGGUAACUCGAGGCUGACUAUGGAAGCAAAAAGAAGGCAAUUUAGUUUUGUUAAAUUUUGUCUGACUUAGUUUUUAUUAAACAGUUACAUGUAUAAAUUUAAAAUAGAAAUUUUUUUCUCAAAGUACUCUCUUAAAACGGUUUAUCCCAUUAACUGGCCUUAAUAAGAAAAUAAUUUUCUGUGUAUUAACAAGUGGGCAUCUUCACCUUGAUUGGCUUCAAUUACAAAGUUUCCAUUUCACCCAGUUAAGAAAUAUUUAAAAUCAUUCAAUCGUUAGAGAAUUUUCUAAAAGUAAGUGACAAGAAAGGAAGAGCAUUUUAAAUUACUUCCUAUGCAUUAAAAAACUAGAUAGUAAACUACAACUUCCCUAUCUUCUACAAUCUUCUCAGCAUCUGAAACAACAGUUGGAAGAAAUAAGUUCUCUGCAUACCAAAAGAUUUCCUAGAAUUUUAAAUGUUAAUGAUUAAAACAGGAAUCUUGAAAUGCUUAUUAUACAUUUUCAAAGAAUUUUCACAUAUGGUUCACACAGAUUUAACAGGAAUAAUCAGUUCAAUCAUGAUUUAAGCCCUGAAUCUCCUAGUUUAGUUGUAAAAUUGAGAAGGUUGUUCUAGACAGGCUAUAAACUUCCUUCAAACAAUACAGUGGUACAAUUCAUUAAUUGUAGAUAUUGAACAUCCACUACUUGCAAAACAUUAUGCUACAAAGUCUUGCACCUAAAUUAUACCUGCCCUUGAGAGCGACAACUAGGAGUCCCUUUUAUUCAGCUUUGAUUUCUUCACUGGUUUCAGGAUGAUAAAUAAACUAGCUGUUGGACUUCCUCUCCAUUUUCAUUACCACAAUAAACUCAUUUCAUUUGUACAAGGAAAGUUGGAAAGCUUUAUUAUAACUGGAUAAUAAAGGAAAAAAGUACCAACAAUGAAAUAAAGGUAUUUUGAGAUUUAUACAUAUAAAACAAGUUGAGUAGUUGAAUAGGCAUUCUCUAAACCUAUGCUGUCCAUUAUAGCCACUAGUCAGCCACGUGAAAACUGAUCACUUAAAAUGCUGAAUGGAGAUGUAAUGAAAGUGUAAAAUAUACAUCAGAUAUCAAAAAAAAGAAUGUAAACUAUCCUGUAACUUCAAUAUAUUGGAUGUAUGUUAAAAUAUUUUGGAGCUACUGGAUUAUUAAAAAUAAUUUUUUUUACUUUUUAAAAUGUGGCUAUAGAAAUUUAAAAAUAUAUAUAUAUGGCUCACAUUAUAUUUCUAUUGUUCUAUACUUUUAAGUACCUUCUCCGCAGAUUACCAUGACCUCUCUUCAUGGCCCUGAUCACAAAUGCAGGAAAAUGAACUAUUACUCACAUUCAUCUUGUUGUACUUCUCUUUUAUUGCUAGUUCCAUGUCUGACCCAUGAUCUACUUUCAUUGUUACUUGAAACCAAAUCCUUCACCGUAAGAGUUUGGAAUGAUACUUAUUUUAUUCUGAUUUUACAUAAGGAAGUGGGUGUGUGUGUGUGGGGGGGUGAUUCUAUUGUCUCCUUUCCAAUACUUUGAAAUAGACUGUGUCAAUCACACAUAUAACUUACACGUUUCUUAACUAGUAAAUAUGAGAUGAAAAUGCUAAGUCCCUGAGCCAGUGACUUAGAAUUCCUUUUCACAGGCAUUAUUUUCCCACCUCACUACCAGUGACCUCCUUUCUUUAAAACAAAAUGACUGAUUGAUCUAUCUGCAGUCACUAUUUUAGAAUAUCUGCUAUUGCCCUAACUCUUUUUAACAUGACUGCCCAUGCAAGGAACCAUGACAAGAAGAUUCAAGUAACAUCCCUUAUUUAAGGCAGAAUAAGGUAAGUCUCUGUAAUUCCCUUAGACAUUAAAAUUAAAAGUGUUUGUAAAGAAAUGUAACUUUCCUUCUCUACUCAUCUGACUUCCUCCUUUCAAGAAAGCUGAUUAUGUUAAAAGGCUUACUUCACAGUUAAAGCUACUUACAAAACAAUUUAUAUGACAAAGAAUAAAUUUACUUCUGCACCAAUCUUAAUACAAUGAACUUGGAAAACUUUACUAGAUUUAGAUAACAAAGAAAAGAAGUUUAAGGAGUAGCAACAACGAAACAAAUGUAUUUUGAGACUAAUAUCUGUAUAAAACAAGCUGAAUACUUGAAAAUAGUUGAGUAGAAAAUACAAUCAAGGACAUCUGUGUUAGAGUAAUAUUUUUAAAUAGUUUGUCUUGUUUUACUUAAUGGAAGUUCUUUGAUCAGAAUUGUUUUCCAACUUAAUAUUUAUAUUGAAGUUUGAUAUUUUAAACAAAAUAUUUUAAAGUAGAAAGGCACUUCAGGAAUCAAGUUUUAUGUACUUGUUUUAUAGAUAAGAGACUUAAGUGAUACGCUCAAAGUCAUACGCCUACUAAGUGAAACAAGACUGAAAAAUGUAUGUUGAUCCUAAGUUCAUCUUGUUUCAAGAUAUUAUGCUGCCUUAGUCCUUUAACUUUUGCUCUCCUUAAAAAAAAAUUAAAUUCAGACCUAUCCAACAAAGAUAUUGUUAGCACUAUUAAUGUUCUUGUUUAUUUAUUUGGGAUGAAAGCAUUUUAGAUAUCUGAACAGGAGAAAAGAAGAUUGAUGGGUGGAGUGUUCAAAUAAUUAAAUCCUGUUUAAAUACUGGUAUCAGAGGUUCAUAUAAUACUUGAAAUUUCUAACACACUCAUCUUUUAGUAAACGUGGGCAAGGGAAAUGAAGACUGGAAUGUAGUAGAGUUUAAUCAAGGCUGAAAAUAUUUAUUAUUUUACUUGGAGACACUGAGUAUUCUACUGUGCCACAUUUGAAUGGAAGAUUUUAACAACCUGAAUAACUAUCCCAUGUGCAAACUAUACCUCUGUAAGCAGUAUAACUGUGGCUAUAACACUAGGACAUCAUUCUAGUGAAACUAUUCCUGGUAAGCCUAUCUGUUGCUCAAUAUUAAUGGGGCAACAAGGUAGCAUCUUAUAUAUAUUAUUAUAAAUUAUUCAUUUCUCAAAAGUAUUCCCAGUAGAAGCAACAAAAGAAGACUGUACUAUUUCUGCUUCAGUUUCUUCUUAAAAGGGCAAACUUUAUUCUUCCCUGUUCAACUCAUCAUGUCUUAAUUUUUUUUUUUUUUUUUUUUUAGAGAUGGGGUCUCACUAUGUUGCCCAGGCUGGCUGUAGAACAGUGGGUAUUCACAGGCAUAAUCAUAGUGCACUACAGCAUCAAACUCCUGGAA